This 427-nucleotide ribosomal RNA is filed under the name uncultured bacterium. Its description in RNAcentral is "partial 16S ribosomal RNA". It matches the Rfam family "Bacterial small subunit ribosomal RNA", at positions 355 to 774 of the family's 1533-position model. The record is from RNAcentral.
UGGGGAAUAUUGCACAAUGGGCGCAAGCCUGAUGCAGCCAUGCCGCGUGUAUGAAGAAGGCCUUCGGGUUGUAAAGUACUUUCAGCGGGGAGGAAGGUGUUGAGGCUAAUAACCUCAGCAAUUGACGUUACCCGCAGAAGAAGCACCGGCUAACUCCGUGCCAGCAGCCGCGGUAAUACGGAGGGUGCAAGCGUUAAUCGGAAUUACUGGGCGUAAAGCGCACGCAGGCGGUCUGUCAAGUCGGAUGUGAAAUCCCCGGGCUCAACCUGGGAACUGCAUUCGAAACUGGCAGGCUAGAGUCUUGUAGAGGGGGGUAGAAUUCCAGGUGUAGCGGUGAAAUGCGUAGAGAUCUGGAGGAAUACCGGUGGCGAAGGCGGCCACCUGGACAAAGACUGACGCUCAGGUGCGAAAGCGUGGGGAGCAAACA